RNAcentral lists this ribosomal RNA (444 nucleotides) under Triticum aestivum (bread wheat). RNAcentral describes it as "partial small subunit ribosomal RNA". Lineage: Eukaryota; Viridiplantae; Streptophyta; Magnoliopsida; Poales; Poaceae. The record is from RNAcentral.
AUGCUCCGCAUCAGGAGUGGCAUCACCCUCCAAGCCGAGAAAGGGAAAGAAGACCAACAACAUCCUCCAAGCAACAGUACCCUACAAGUAGCAGCAGCAGCAACACCACCUUCGAAGCAGAGAAAGAGAAAGAAGAGCAGCAACACCCUCCAAGCAAAGAAAGGGAAAGAAGCAGAGAAAUGGAAAGAAGACCAGCAACAUCCUCCAAGCAGCAGUACCCUCCAAGCAGAGAAAGGGAAAGAAGACCAGCAACAUCCUCCAAGCAGCAGUACCCUCCAAGCGGCACCACCUUCGAAGCAGAGAAAGAGAAAGAAGAGCAGCAGCACCCUCCAAGCAAAGAAAGGAAAAGAAGCAGGAAAAGGGAAAGGAGCAAUUUCGUGCGUCCUUGCAAAGGUUGUGUUCAGCAGGAUAAUGGAAGCAAUUGGCAGGCCAGUAAUGUGUUAA